RNAcentral lists this ribosomal RNA (1026 nucleotides) under Phaeosphaeriaceae sp. RNAcentral's name for it is "SSU rRNA". It matches the Rfam family "Eukaryotic small subunit ribosomal RNA", at positions 71 to 1107 of the family's 1831-position model. Lineage: Eukaryota; Fungi; Ascomycota; Dothideomycetes; Pleosporales; Phaeosphaeriaceae. The record is from RNAcentral.
AAUUAUACCGUGGAAACUGCGAAUGGCUCAUUAAAUCAGUUAUCGUUUAUUUGAUAGUACCUUACUACUUGGAUAACCGUGGUAAUUCUAGAGCUAAUACAUGCUGAAAACCCCAACUUCGGGAGGGGUGUAUAUAUUAGAUAAAAAACCAACGCCCUUCGGGGCUUCUUGGUGAUUCAUGAUAUCUUUACGGAUCGCAUGGCCUUGCGCCGGCGACGGUUCAUUCAAAUUUCUGCCCUAUCAACUUUCGAUGGUAAGGUAUUGGCUUACCAUGGUUUCAACGGGUAACGGGGAAUUAGGGUUCGAUUCCGGAGAGGGAGCCUGAGAAACGGCUACCACAUCCAAGGAAGGCAGCAGGCGCGCAAAUUACCCAAUCCCGACACGGGGAGGUAGUGACAAUAAAUACUGAUACAGGGCUCUUUUGGGUCUUGUAAUUGGAAUGAGUACAAUUUAAACCUCUUAACGAGGAACAAUUGGAGGGCAAGUCUGGUGCCAGCAGCCGCGGUAAUUCCAGCUCCAAUAGCGUAUAUUAAAGUUGUUGCAGUUAAAAAGCUCGUAGUUGAACCUUGGGUCUGGCUGGCAGGUCCGCCUCACCGCGUGUACUUGUCCGGCCGGGCCUUCCUUCUGGAGAACCUCAUGCCCUUCACUGGGCGUGUUGGGGACCAGGACUUUUACUUUGAAAAAAUUAGAGUGUUCAAAGCAGGCCUUUGCUCGAAUACGUUAGCAUGGAAUAAUAGAAUAGGACGUGCGGUCCUAUUUUGUUGGUUUCUAGGACCGCCGUAAUGAUUAAUAGGGACAGUCGGGGGCAUCAGUAUUCAAUUGUCAGAGGUGAAAUUCUUGGAUUUAUUGAAGACUAACUACUGCGAAAGCAUUUGCCAAGGAUGUUUUCAUUAAUCAGUGAACGAAAGUUAGGGGAUCGAAGACGAUCAGAUACCGUCGUAGUCUUAACCGUAAACUAUGCCGACUAGGGAUCGGGCGAUGUUCUUUUUCUGACUCGCUCGGCACCUUACGAGAAAUCAAAGUUUU